Etheostoma spectabile (orangethroat darter) is the source of this 155-nucleotide long non-coding RNA. RefSeq lists it as uncharacterized. The record is from RefSeq and is a predicted model, not a curated record. The transcript is spliced from 3 exons. Lineage: Eukaryota; Metazoa; Chordata; Actinopteri; Perciformes; Percidae.
UUCUGUUGGAGAUGGUAAGUCCCUCUGGGGGGGGACUAUGGGCUGUUGCACUUUGUAAACCUAUUACGUACACAGAAAAGAUAUAUAACACAAUAAAGGAAAGGGGAAAAGCCAAAAAGUAUAAUUUGAGCACUUUAAAGGAGUGGUCAGAGGUU